RNAcentral lists this long non-coding RNA (2540 nucleotides) under Sus scrofa (pig). RNAcentral's name for it is "lncRNA (ENSSSCG00050065750.1)". The record is from RNAcentral. Lineage: Eukaryota; Metazoa; Chordata; Mammalia; Artiodactyla; Suidae.
AUGAAGCACAUUCCAGGAGCUUCCUGGUGGCUCAGUGGGUUAAGGAUCCUGCCAUCUGCAAGCUGGAGGACUAGGACAGCCACGGGUGUCAUUCCGUCUGAGUUCAAAGGCCUGAGAAAGCAGGAGGGUGAUGGUGUAGGUCCCAACCUGAGUGCCAAAGCCCAAGAACCAAGAAUGGCAAGAGAAGAUGGAGGGCUCAGCUCAUGCAGAGAGAGCAAAUUCACCUUCCUUCACCUUUUGCUCUAUUUGGGCCACAUGGGGGAGGGCCCCUCUGUUUUACUCAGGUCACCAAGGCAAAUGCUAAUCUCUUCUGGAAAUAGCUUCACAGACACACCCAGAAAUGAUGUUUUACCAUCUUUAUGGGCAUCCCUUAGCCCAGUCAAGUUGACACAUAAAAUUAACUAUCACAAUGCAAUGAUAACGCAGCUUUAGGAGCUCCUGCUGAGGCUCAGCUUUAGGAGUUUCCGUUGGGUGGUUAAGGACCCAACACUGUCUCUGUGAGGAUGCAGGUUCAAUCCCUGGCCUCAUUCAGUGGGUUAAGGAUCUGGUAUUGCCGUGGCUGUGGCAUAGGCCACAGCUGCAGCUCCAAUUUGACCCCUGGCCCGGAAACUUCCACAUGCUGCAAAAAAAAAAAAAGAAUACAAAAAUAAUGUGGCCUUAAAAAGGAAGGAAAUCUUGACACAUUACACAAUAUGGAUAAACUUUGAGGAGAUUAUGCCAAGCGAAGUAAGCCAGUCCCGAAGGGAGAACAAUGUAUGAUUCCAUUUAGAUGAGAUGGCAUAAAGUAGUGAAAUUCAUAUAUAUAGAAAGUAGGCUGGGGGCACUGGGCGAAGUGGAAUUGUUUAAUGGAUACAAUUUCAGUUCUGCAAGAUGACAAAGUUCUGGAGCUUUGUUUCACAGCAAUGUAAAUGUAAUGCUACGGAAAUGUACUCUUAAAAAUAGUUAACACGAGGAGUUCCCCGGUAGCACAGCAGGUUACGGAUCUGGUAUUGUCACUGUAGUGGCUCAGGUCGCUGCUGUGGCCCUGGUGGCUGCUGUGGUGUGGGUUCGAUCCCUGGCACAGGAAAUUCCACAUGUCGAGGGUGCAGCCAAAGGAAAAGGAAGAAGGGACUCUGAAGAGGCAUGAGGAUCCUUGGAGUACGAUGGAUAUGUUCACUGUCUUGAGAACGGCGUGGUUUCAUUUGUGUAUAUGUAUCAAAACAUAGCAAAUUAUACAUUUUAAAUAUUUACAUAUUAUUGUAUAUCAACUAAAUAUCAAUAAAGCUAAUAUAUACCUUAUAUAUUUAUACAUAUACGUACACACACAUCCAUAUAUAUCCAGGUUCAUGAGGCUGUUAGUGAGUCCAUGAGCAUUUUUUUACCGCUUUCUCAACACCCUUUUUAGCCUCCAUUCAUUUGCCAAAGGGUUUGCCCCCUGCGUGCUGUUGGAUAUUCAGGAAAGGGACCUCAUGUUUGCAGAGUACCACUGACUUUUGCAGGAAGGGAUGUCAGGCACUAGCAGGCAGAUCCCAGGGAUUUGCCACAACAUUCAGUUGUCAGGACCAAUGGCUGGUCUCAAGGGCUUCCCUGCCCACCUUGUGGCCUCCUGCAGCCCAGUUCUAGGGCUUCUGUGGGAGAAGAAGGAGAGCGCUGGGGGUCAGGAUUAAGAGGCUGAGCCUUGCUUCCAAGGAGCUCACAGUAGGGUAGGGGAGAAAGCCCAGAAGCCACAUGCUACUAGUUCGGGGAAAGACUGCUGGAUGCUCCUCCAAGACCCCAUAAGAGCCUGCAGCUGGACACCUGGUUCAGCAAGAGUCUUCCCAACACUGAAGAUGCUUGGCUAGAAUACUGAUGGAUGAAGGGGAGUAGCAAGAUAGACAGUGAGCAGGGCAUUCCAGGCAGAGGGAAGAGCAUUUAGGAAAGCUUGCAAUCACCAGAUGCAUUCUAGCAACUCCAAGUAACUCCACCCUUGAGGGAAGGCUAAAAACCAGUAACCCAUGAGGUAACCCAGCUAUUGAUCUCUUCUCCCCUCCAUUCCUCCUUCAAUACUGUUGCUAGAUUUAUUUUUCUAAAAAAGUUUUGGAUACCCGAUUUUUUUUUUUUUUUUUUUUUUUGCUUUUUUUUUUCAGGGCUACACCCGCAGCAUGUGAAAACUCCCAGGCUAGGCCUACACCACAGCCACAGCAACGUGGGAUCCGAGCCGAGUCUGUGACCUACACCACAGCUCAGUGAUAGCAACACUAAGAUCCUUAACUCACUGAGUGAGGCCAGGGAUCGAACUCAUAUCCUCAUAAAUCCUAGUCAGGCUCCUUAACCACUGAGCCAUGAAGGGAACUCCCUCCCCUGACUUUUAAAAUCUGUUUGCCCAACAUCCAUUCAUGAUCAAGACCCUUGCCAAAGUGGGUAUAGAGGGAACAUUCCUGAACAUAAUCAAAGCCAUUUAUGAUAAACCCACAGCAAAUAUAAUCCUCAAUGGGGAAAAACUGAAAGCCUUCUCACUCAAAUCUGGAACAAGACAGGGAUGCCCACUCUCACCACUGCUCUUCAACAUCGUUUUGGAAGUC